This 263-nucleotide ribosomal RNA is filed under the name uncultured bacterium. Its description in RNAcentral is "partial 16S ribosomal RNA". It matches the Rfam family "Bacterial small subunit ribosomal RNA", at positions 793 to 1055 of the family's 1533-position model. The record is from RNAcentral.
GUCCACGCCCUAAACGAUGUCAACUAGUUGUCGGGGAUUAACUUCCUUGGUAACGCAGCUAACGCGUGAAGUUGACCGCCUGGGGAGUACGGUCGCAAGAUUAAAACUCAAAGGAAUUGACGGGGACCCGCACAAGCGGUGGAUGAUGUGGAUUAAUUCGAUGCAACGCGAAAACCUUACCUACCCUUGACAUGUCUGGAACCCUGCUGAAAGGUGGGGGUGCUCGAAAGAGAGCCAGAACACAGGUGCUGCAUGGCUGUCGU